UGGGCUGUAGCUCAGUGGCAGAGUGCUUGCCUCGCAUGCGUGAGGCACUGGGUUCGAUCCUCAGCACCACAA
RNAcentral lists this transfer RNA (72 nucleotides) under Ictidomys tridecemlineatus (thirteen-lined ground squirrel). Its description in RNAcentral is "Spermophilus tridecemlineatus (thirteen-lined ground squirrel) tRNA". It matches the Rfam family "tRNA". Rfam says of the family: Transfer RNA (tRNA) molecules are approximately 80 nucleotides in length. Their secondary structure includes four short double-helical elements and three loops (D, anti-codon, and T loops). The record is from Rfam by way of RNAcentral. Lineage: Eukaryota; Metazoa; Chordata; Mammalia; Rodentia; Sciuridae.